GUCCACGCCCUAAACGAUGAUGACUAGUUGUUGGAGGAGUUAAAUCCUUUAGUAACGCAGCUAACGCGCGAAGUCAUCCGCCUGGGGAGUACGGUCGCAAGAUUAAAACUCAAAGGAAUUGACGGGGCCGCACAAGCGGUGGAUGAUGUGGUUUAAUUCGAUGCAACGCGAAAACCUUAACCUACCCUUGACAUGUACGGAAGCCUGCAGAAAUGCAGGUGUGCUCGAAAGAGAGCCGUAACACAGGUGCUGCAUGGCUGUCGU
This 264-nucleotide ribosomal RNA is filed under the name uncultured bacterium. RNAcentral's name for it is "partial 16S ribosomal RNA". It matches the Rfam family "Bacterial small subunit ribosomal RNA", at positions 793 to 1055 of the family's 1533-position model. The record is from RNAcentral.